Molecule: long non-coding RNA, 1583 nt
Filed under: Malus domestica (apple)
Lineage: Eukaryota; Viridiplantae; Streptophyta; Magnoliopsida; Rosales; Rosaceae
Description: long non-coding RNA (MDOM_LNC014159)
Source: RNAcentral
ACAUGAGUUCUUGGAUGAGGUUGACCUACGAACAACGGAGGUACGAUGGCUAAACACUUGUUUUCAAUUUGUCAAAUCAUUGGGUCAUAAUUCAACAUCAUUAAUUUACAAAUGAGCAAUAGUUCAUAUAUUAUUUUGAACUUGUAUUGCAGUCAUAUGAAGAAUCAAGUGAAGAUGUAAAUGCAAUACCAAAGACAUCGAACCAAGUAACAACACAGUAACUUCACACCUCGAACAAUUUGGUACUUAGUUCCAGGCAUCCCACAACAAAAUCAGCAGCUGACAUCACACCAACCACGUACCAGAAGAUAAGAAAUAGUUUCACCAGCGAAUGGGUUUCAAUGGGGGCAGUAAUGGGAACGAAAGAGUCAGUGUUGAAGUCACACCAAAUCAUACUUCUGAGAACAAAGCACCUAGUAGCAUGAGAAGUUCUAUGUCAAGCAAGAUAGGUCCAAGUUUUGACAACAAUGCAAAUGAAAAAGCUUAGCCCUUGAUAAUGGUCAACAACAUGGAGAAUUUCCAAAGGGAGAAUGAAAAACUAAAAAUCGAGUUGUCCCAAUUGAAUAUCAGGUGUGAGGUUGCUGAAGUAACUAUUGAUUUACUGUCCAAAUCAGUCAACAUUGCUGAAAGUUCAAAUGUACUUGAAGCUGAGAACCACACAUUAAGAAAGGAAAUUGCGGGAUUACGUAAUGGUGAUCCUGAAAUUGGAAUGCCACCUCAACGAUCCAUGGUAAGAGGACUAAAAAUAAACAACAAAAGGUGGUCUUCGAAGAUUUUGAAUGUGAACCUUUGGUCAAAAGGAUACCAACGAACCGUUCAAAAGGGAACUUUUGAGCAAAAAAAAAAAAUGGGGGGGGGGGGAGGGGGGAGUCUGAUGCAUUGAAAAACAAUAAUCGUCAUGCAUGCUGGAUUACGAAGAGGCCAAGUCCAAAUAUCAUUGAAAAAAUAAUAAUUGUCAUGCAUGCCUGAAUACGAAGAAGCCAAGUCUAUCAAAAGCUAUAUGUGUUCAUAGGUGCUGCACAGCAGCUGUACUUGACCAAAAGUUAAAAGCAACAGCCAUGCUCGAAUAAUGGUACAACUAUCCACUGAAUAGUAUACGGGUCUCCCAUCUUGGAAGGAUUUGGUUUGUCAUGAAUCCAUGGUACGAGCCCAAGAAAGGACUAAUCACUAGUCUUUUGCAUGAAUUUGGAUGCAUAUGUGGAACAAAAUAAUAAUAAUAAUAAUAAUAAUAAUAAUAAAAAUAAUAAUAAAGAUGCAUAAAGUUGCACAUCAAAACUAAAGGGAUAAAAAAUCCCACCAUUUUGUAUGAAGAUAUCAGGCAAGCUUCCAAAGCAAAGAGUCUCCACCAAAAGACACCUGCAACAAAUCAAGAAUAAAACAAAAUAUAUCAAAUGAAGUUGCGGAAUGUUCAUUCAAAUCCAAGCAAAACGAAAAAGUAUGAAGCCUUACUGACCGUUAUGUUCUUCUCUCCAAAAAAUAACAAACAGUAAAGCAUGGUACGGGAGAAGCUCGUGCAGAAUAACUGAUCAAAAGAAUUCAAAAAGGGUUUGGAACUUAUCUAAAACCACUAAAAUGGGGGAAUU